UGCCAUUAGCCAAUGCGUGGACUCCCAAUUCUUCAAACCUAAAACCUCCAUUCAACACAACUUACUCCACAUCUGUUUGCAAUAACAAAAAAUUACCGAAGGAAGGAAAGAGGACAUCAUCAAUUGCCCCAAAAUUUAGCCGACUUCACCUAAUAAUUCAACGAAAUUAGAGCACUUGGCCUUUUCCGAUUCUCAUAUACCACAAAGAGCAGUUAUCUUGCGUUAAUAAGCUUGUGAAAAAAUGUAUUCCGGCCAAAGAAACAAACGGCCAUAUGCAGAACAUACAAACUAUGACAAGAAUGUAAGAAGACGUAAUAUUUAUGGACAAAUAUUGCCUACUAAAAAAGAGGCAAUGUUACUACAACGCCGCACCAAAGAACUUGAACGGCAAAAAUGGAAUAGUUCCAUAAAAUCGGCAGUUGAUCCAGAUGAAAAAGUAAUGUAUCAAUGUCACCUUAUGAUUCGGAAACAUACUGCACUUAUCAUAAGAGAGCCUUCUUCUGCCGACGUCCAAGUUGGCAGCAACCACGAUGUUAAUACUUUCUCAAGUUCUUUUGAUAAGGGAAACAAUGUCGCUCAUCCGUUUUCUGUUUUUGAAAGAGGAUCAACAUCGCGUGCAUCUAAGGGACAACAAAAUUUCUUCCCCGCUGCCACAGGCAAAGGUCAACAAUGAAAAAACCAAGUUUUUAACUCCGCCUGUGUUUCGGUUACACUACUGCACCACAGCCGGUCCCAAGCCCGAAAAAAGGAGGAGGGUUUACUGUCUAUCUAUGCUUUACAAUUCUAGAAUGAAGGAUGAUUAGUAAAGCAGCAUAUAUUGGAUCUUCCAAAAUCAUUAAGAACAAAAAUAUUGAGGUGGACAAUAUAGUGCGCACGUGAGGCAUUGUCUCAGUAGCAAAAGUUUGUAUUGCAGUAUGUUUUCUUCCGUCAAUCAAUGGUAUUUUAUGCUAGUAUCAAGAUGUGUCUGCUACUAUACAUAUGCUACUGACUGUGAAUGACAUCUGCUGGACAUGUUAUUUUGCUAAAAGUAUUUGGAGGUAUUAUAGUAGCCCUGCAGAACUCUUUUAUAUAACCUUUUGUCAAUAUGAUUAUUUUAGUGUUCAGCUACGUCUAUAAUGCAAAAUACUGUUGAGCUAAUUGUGACACUUGCAGGUAGUGUGCUUCAUGAUCUACAGAUGUUUUCAUCACAAACUGAUUCCUAAAGUUAUGUCAAUGGCUAAUUUAUUUCACUGUUAUUAUAGUUUAUUUUAUUGCUUACUAUAUUCUUCUUGUUAUAUGGUUUCCGCAUAUUAUGACAUCUUGAUCAUUAACAACCUUUCCUAUGUGUUGGAUUCACUUUCACUUAAUGGUAAGUGAAUGUGUUCUACACUGCAAAACAAUUGUCUCUGAUUUUUACAUCAGAUAGCCAUAUUUUCUUCUGUUCUUAUCAUUCUAUAGUUGGAACAAUACAAGUUACUUGACUAAUCCUUAUUUUCCUAAAUUCUGGUAAUAACUGUUGGGUUCAUUUACGCACAGUAGACAGCCGGACUGCCUAAUGUCAGCGAAGCCCAGGAAGAUCAACAAACCAUUCUGAUCUUCAUGCUAACAUAAAAGAACAAAUAAUAGUUCAGUCCUUUUCACAAGGAGAUAUCUCUAUCUACCUUUUUCAGUUUUGCCCGAUGGCAUUACCAGAAAAUUAUAUGCGAGCAAUUUCACUUGAUAUGCAUAUUCCUUGGUAUAAAUUGUGUUUAUGUAAGAUGGUAUUUUUUACUUUUGAGUAGAGACAAAAAAAACAGUAAUUCUCUUUUCGGUUAAGUAAAAUCUGAAGUUAUGUUCGAUGUGCCUUUUUUUUUUAAACUUCUCAUCAUGUAAAUAUAGUUAUUAUAGGUGGUUUUGGAGGAGCACAUGCUGAUAAUUCUGCUUCUGGGUAAACAGUGAGCUGUGACAUAUUUUAAAGUUCUUUCCCAUGGAAGCCCCUCUGAAAAGCUUAUGAUGUAACCUUCAAGGACAGUCUGACGGUAGAUAUACUUUAAAGGUAACACAUUUUUUGAAUCGUCAAACUUGCAACCAUAGAUUGGAUGAAGACCCCAACUUGUACGCAGAAAAUUGAUGAACACCACAAAGUCUUAUAUUAGAUUGAGUUGACCCAGAACCUGUGAAGGUUUGGCUAGCGAAUGAACUAGCUCUUCCAGCAUCGAGUGUUGCUAAUCGUGGAAUCAACCUCCAUCAACAAAUAAAAGCUCCCACUGAAGGGAAAAUAUCGACUUUGUUGAACUUUAUUUCACCGCUCGAUUUUACCACUUGAAAUUAGAGGACAAAACCAAGAACAAGCGGGAAUCACGAUUACCAUCAGGGUAUAUGCGGGCAGUAACAUAGAAAAGGAGGAACUAACUUCUUUUCAGGUUGCCAGAAGGUUAUGCUACUACUGUUUUCAGGUUGCAAGAUACUCAAAAGAUGAAGCAUCGAUAUACCAUCCAUGAAAUCACGCCAUUUACUAGAGAUUGGACUUGUAAAAUACAAGUUGUUGACAAAAUCCGCCCAAAAAUUAGCAGAGAUCACCGGGUGAACUUUCAAACAACCAUCGUCCAGGACGAAAACGAAGACCAAAUCUGCAUCAUAACAUAUGGUCCUGAAGUCGCACAUUAUGACAACCUUUUCAAACAUUUCCACACAUACCUCAUCCCGGCAGCUAAAGUUAGGGAACCGUCACGUUUUGCAAUACCCAUGCACAACUUCGAAUGGGUCCUCGAUACCUUCAGUAUUGUCGAAGAAGUUAUAGAUAACAAUGAAGAAGAAUCAAUGUUACCGUUGCCUUCAAGAUUAAACAUGGUGUCCUUUGCCGAUAUCGAGAAACAGAUUCCAGGAGAUGAAUUCGACCUGGUGGCAGUUGUGGCAAAUUGCGGUACCAUGAAAUAUCAAGGCAGCGAAAACAGAAGAUUUCAAGAGGCUAUUCUUAUAGACGACAAGUAAUACACACUUUAACUACCUCUAACAGCAAAAUAUGUAUUUAACACAGCAUCCUUAAUUUCAUAGGAAAAAUCCUUUUCUGUUUACUAUAUGGGGAGAAUUGGCUGAAAUCCUUUUCUGUUUACUAUAUGGGGAGAAUUGGCUGACAAAGAUGGAACUGAACUACUGCAGCAGCUACAUAGAUACCAUGUCAUUGUUGCAAAAUGAAUAGUUGUUUCUAACUUUAAACAAGGCAGCAAAGUUAAUGAAUUGGUAUGAAACAGGUUUUAUUUGCACAGGAAUAUGUUCCAUUGUUUCAUACCAUAUUACAUCAAAACAAAAUCACAAUAUCUACUAUUACAUCGCGGGGCAAAGGACAACAAGCAGAUGCUAAUUGAAUACACUCUCAAAAGUACAUCAGCAUCGCCUUCGACACUAAAUGUUGCACCUUUUGAAGAUCAAAUACUUUCUAUUUCAAGCAUUCCUUCACAGUCCACUGCGCAAAGUUUUUAUGUUGAAGGAGAAAUAUCAUUACCAAGUGAAUUUCAGUUUUUUUUUCGUACUUCUAUGCUCUUAAUGCCAACAUCUAACACGAAUCAAACACAAAAAGAAAGUUCUCUGUAUCAACUGCAAGCUAGAGAGAAUGUUGAUUCCAAGAUGUGAAUUUGAAGUUGAUGUCACAGACGGGAGCGAAACAAUAACAGUAGUAGUGUCGGACAAACUAGCUGAAACAAUGCUUUCACUGACAGCAGACCAAAUAUAUGAAACUACCAUUGUCCAGGUGCAUAUACUGACAACUCUAGAAUCAUUUUGCGUCACUUCAAAUUAAUUUAAAGUCUUCACUUUACUCAUUUUGUGGUAAAAGUUUCCCCAAAGAAACAAUUGUUACCCGUUGAGCAUAUCAGAGAGCACCUGCUAGACAAGCUAUUCAAAAUUUAUUUACAAAAAUCACUACUCAGAACACCAGAUAGGCCACCUGGUACCUUUGUCAUUUUAUUUUACACUCAGAAACAGACUGUCUUCGACCUGGCACAAUCUUUAACAUCAACUACUAUUGGCGAGGAAAGUAAAAGGAAGGUACAAUCCAUCACUUCUGAAGAAGCAGAUCGCAGUCCAUCGACAGAAGAUGAAAACCCAAGAAAGAAACCUAACGUACAAUGACCAAGUCCUCUGCAAAAAUACUCAAGGUGCCUCGUCAGAUUUGAAGUGCAACAAAGGUCGCCUCAAUGUUAUUUGAUAGGCUAUAGCAGUUGUAAUACUUGCAUUCAAGGAAGAUUUUCGUUGUGUUGUCUACUGCUGUACAAUAUUUCACAUUUUCUAUAAAUAGCUAUGCAAACUAACUCUUACCAAUACAAAUUUUGCUGGUGUUGUUUACUGCAGUUCAAUGUUCCACAUUUUGUGUUUGAAUUAUCUGGCAAAUCCAAGCAGCCCCCAUUAUAUAUGAAUUUAUGUUUUCAA
Nicotiana tabacum (common tobacco) is the source of this 4383-nucleotide non-coding RNA. The record is from RefSeq and is a predicted model, not a curated record. NCBI's taxonomy places the organism in Eukaryota, Viridiplantae, Streptophyta, Magnoliopsida, Solanales, Solanaceae.